Molecule: long non-coding RNA, 2783 nt
Filed under: Homo sapiens (human)
Lineage: Eukaryota; Metazoa; Chordata; Mammalia; Primates; Hominidae
Description: non-protein coding TRAM2-AS1:22
Source: RNAcentral
GGGCUUAACCCUCUAGCCGCUGGGCACGCGCGGGCUACCGGGGCGGAGGCGUACGGGGGCGGCGAGCGGGGCUCGGCUCCUCCUCGUCCCGCGCCAGCGCCGCGCCCGGCCGCAUUCUCGGGGCCCGAGGCUCAGCCGCUCGCGGUGGAGAAAGCAGGCCGCGGAGGAGGCGGGCGCCCAGGCCUGCCCGGACAGGAAGUGGGCCCAGCUUUCCCACUCCUCGCUCCGCUCCUUCCUCCGCGGGAAGGGCAGGCCCCGGAGGCAGCGAGCGCCCCGGGGGUGGCCGGGCAGCCGGAUGCUCCCGGGGUUGCGGGCUGUGGCCCCGGGGGCUGAGGGCGGCGCGGGUGCGGCGGAAGCAGGGAAGCCGCGAACCGGCCUUCUGGCUGGCCACAGCGCCCUGCACGGACGAUCAGUGAAUGGAGAUUACUCAAGUAUUUAUCGAGAACUUGCAGUGGGCUAGGCACAGUUCAGGUAGAUCAACAAACCGAAAGACCCUGCCCUAGGGGAGCUUUCGCUCCAAUGCGGGGAGAGGGUGGAUGAUUGCAGUUUUGCCCAGUAAUUUUUGGGACCCUCAUGCCACCAUUAAUUAGCUACACACAUUUCACCGAAAGUCUACCUUACAUAUUAAUCAGAAGAAGUGGAAGAAUAAACACAGAAGAAGCAAAAAAGGAAGGAACUUUCUCACUGAAAGUUUCUAUUUAAUAUUAAGUCUUAAAAGUACUCCUGGAAGGACAAAAGGUGUUCUUAAUAAAUUAUAUUCGCAAAUAUUGGAUUUAAUCCUACCAGUAAUGAAGCAGUCAGUUACUUUCUAGAUGUGCAGAAAUACGUAAUGAACAAAAAAAACUAAUUCCUAUUCCAUUUUUUAUUAGGUCCACAGUUAUUUCACUUCUAAAUAAAUAUGGUUUUUUAAAAGUGGCACGCGGUGGAAUGUAAUUGAGACAGGAUGGAGUUCCUAGAGAAAUUUUACUUCCUCAAUCUGCACUCCACCUUACUUAAAAUACAGUCUUGGGUCUGUAAUUCCCUUAUCUGACUCUCAAGGAAAUGACAAAGUAAUGCCUAGAUUGGACUAAACCUCAUUUAACUUCAAGGCUGACCUUUCUCAAAGUUGAACCUUCGUCUUGUGAGGAACAGAAAGAUCAAGAACUCUGAAGCACCUCGACUUUCCACCUGUGAAGAUGUGUUCAAAUUUGCAACGUGCGGCCACACCUAUGAGGUUGAACUUUAUACAAUUGGUUUCUUUAUAGGUUUAGAUGGUUGAAUUUAAGUUACCCCCACUGCUAUUAUUAUUAUUUUGAGACAGAGUCUUAACUCUGUUGCCCAGGCAGGAGUGCAGUGGCGAGAUCUGGACUCACUGCAACCUCUGCCUCCUGGCUUCAAGCAAUUCUCAUGCUUCAGCCUGUAGCUGGAACUACAGGUCACUCCCUCUGGAGGAAACCAGCUGCCACUUUGUGAGGAUACUCAUAGUCCUGUGGAGGCAUAUCCUCCAUAUGGCUGAGACCUCCUGCGAACAACCAUCACUGACUUGCCAGACAUGAGUGUGCCACCUUGGAAGCAGAUUUUCCAGCCCCAGUUAAGCCUUCAGAUGACAUCAGCCCCUGCUAAUCUCUUGACUACAACCUCAUGAGAGACCCUGAGCCAGAACUAGCCAGGUGCUUACCCCUCAUGGUUACAAAGUGGCUGCAACAGCUCCAGGUGUUCUAUCCUUUAACACAGAAUAACUCAAACAACAAGACCCAAUAUUCAGACAAGAAGGAAAGGGACUUUUGGAGAGUGAAGAAAACUUUCCUAGAAACCUCAAACUUCUCCCCAUGCCUUAUUGGCCAGAUUGUAUCCCAUGCCCAUUUCUAAACCAAUCAUUGGCAAAGUGAGUGGAAUUGACGUGAUUAGAUUAACUUUACCAAGAAUGCAUCCUCAGAGAGGCUGAGAAAAAGUCCAGCCUCCUUUGAAGAGCCUGGCUACCUUUCACCUGAACAAAACAAGAAUUCUGAUGAAAAAUGGAGAAUGUAUGUGGAGCAGGCACCCGGAGUGUCUAUGCCAGGAUUUUUUUUCAGUGCGUUUCACCGGUUAUAUUUUUGUCUCUUUACCUUACAAGAUAUGUGGCACGUUUGCCUAAAACAAGCCUUGCUUUCUGAUUUCUGUGCACUAGGCACUUAAACCUUGCAAAUGUCGCUUACCUAACAGUCACUGUCAAGGAGUACCUGGCUAAAGAAUCUCCAGCUAGACAAAGUAGAAGUGUCUGUGCUCUGGCAGUUGAAUAUAUUGUAUCAGGCUCAACAGCACCUUUCACCAAAGGAUGAGACUUCACAACCAUUAGAUCUUCUUUUAUUUUGUUUUUAUUAAAAAAAAAAAUUUUAACACACCAUUGCUAACUUGAAGCCAUUAGAUCUUCUUACCCCCAAUACCACAAAAGUUUAGUGGAAUCAGGGGUAUACCAAGGCAGGUGGAGUAGGGGAGCUGGGAGUGGUCAGCCCCCAGGGCAGGCAAUGAGGGAUUGUGAAUCUGUGAAGAAUUUUAAAGCAAUGAUACAGCUCUAAAUGCAAUGUACUAUCCUGGACUUAGCCCUGGAAAAGAAAAAAGAUAUUAGUGGAAAAACUGGUAAAAUUCAAAUAAUGUCUGUAGUUUGGUUAAUAGUAUUAUACCAAUGUUAAUUUCUGUGUUUUGAUAAAUGUACCAUGGUUAUGUAAGCUGGAUGAAAGAUAUGUGGGAAAUCUCUCUACUAUUUCUGCAACUCUCCUGUAAACCUAAAAAUGUUUCAAAAUAAAAGAUUUAAUGCUAAAAUUGAC